AGAGUUUGAUCAUGGCUCAGGAUGAACGCUAGCGGCGGGCUUAAUACAUGCAAGUUGAACGCUCAGUAGCAAUACUGGGAGUGGCGCACGGGUGCGUAACACGUACACAACCUACCUUUAAGCGGGGGAUACCUCCGGGAAACUGGGAUUAAUACCCCAUAGUAUUAGGAAGUUGCAUGACUUUUUAAUUAAAACUACGGUGCUUAAAGAUGGGUGUGCGUCCCAUUAGGUAGUUGGAGUGGUAACGGCACACCAAGCCUACGAUGGGUAGCCGGUCUGAGAGGAUGGACGGCCACACGGGCACUGAGACACGGGCCCGACUCCUACGGGAGGCAGCAGUAAGGAAUAUUGGUCAAUGGUGGGAACACUGAACCAGCCACGCCGCGUGCAGGAAGAAGGUCCUAUGGAUUGUAAACUGCUUUUGCUAAGGAAGAAAUGUUUGUUAUUUAACAGAUUUGACGGUACUUAGAGAAUAAGCACCGGCUAACUCCGUGCCACUCAGCCGCGGUAAUACGGAGGGUGCAAGCGUUAUCCGGAAUUACUGGGUUUAAAGGGUCCGCAGGCGGGCUAAUAAGUUAGUGGUGAAAUACUCGGGCUCAACCUUGAGUGCUGCCAUUAAAAACUGUUAGUCUUGAGUCCAGCUUGAUGUGGGCCGGUAUUCCAGCAUG
Molecule: ribosomal RNA, 668 nt
Filed under: uncultured bacterium
Lineage: Bacteria
Description: bacterial SSU rRNA
Rfam family: Bacterial small subunit ribosomal RNA
Source: RNAcentral